Etheostoma spectabile (orangethroat darter) is the source of this 206-nucleotide long non-coding RNA. RefSeq lists it as uncharacterized. The record is from RefSeq and is a predicted model, not a curated record. Lineage: Eukaryota; Metazoa; Chordata; Actinopteri; Perciformes; Percidae. The transcript has 3 exons.
GGUGAAAGUCCUGUGUUUGUUUGACCCAUCCACCCCGAUACCUCGCUCCUUACAUGGAAUUUGGCGCUCUUAAACUUUGUCACCUCACUUCCUGCUUUGCUCCCAUAAUACUCAUGCCAGGCCGCCACUAUAAACGUUAAUAUGAGUCGUAAUUGCUGCUUUGACCAAACAACCUAUGGGAGCGUUUUUUGGAAGAGUAAAAAAGG